GAAGAGGUGCCUGCAUUUCUCCGCAGGAUAAUAGGGAAAAGGGUGAAAAGCCCUUACGGUCCCGCCGCUGUAAGAGAAGAGUUUGUAUCCGGCCCCGUAUUUUCUCACGAAUACGGGUAUCACUGGGAAACCGGGAAGAGAGAGGAGACAGACGAAGAUGCUCAAGUCAGAAGACCUGCCCUUCCU
RNAcentral lists this non-coding RNA (186 nucleotides) under human gut metagenome. The record is from RNAcentral.